AGUAAACUCACGAUAUAAAAUAAAAAACAAUUUUAUCGAAAAAAUUUCUCAAUAUUAUUUCGAAUCGUAAUUCGUUGCAACUUUCUAAUUGCGCGCGGUAACUUGAUUUUAAAAAGUGCCACAAGAACCUAAGAGAUUGUUAAAUAGAUUAGCGUGUGGUAAUCGCAAAAAGGAAGGCGCGAAAAAAAAAUUAGAAUCACGUGCAGGAAACACGCUAGAAACGUGCCGUUUUUGUCUCGCGACGAGAGAUAUCAUAUCUCGCUCGCGAACGUGCAUAUCUUAAGUCCGCGCGUCUCUAUGCAAAUGACAACGUGACCUUCCUUCCGCGCGAGAUCAUGCAUACGACGACGCACUACACGUGUAUAGAUAUCCAUCUGCCGCGGAGAAUCGCGGAGGAUCUCGAUCGAUCGUACGGCGAUCAACGGAGAACAGAGGGGAUAAGCGGGAUGAAAUUGUAGCCCCGUGGAAAUGAAGUUGGAAAUCGGUGGAAAUGGAGGCUCUUUACGCGGAGAGCACCGUCGGGGGGCCGUCUCUCGCAUCCCACUGCGCGCGCGAUCUCCUCGGAUUUAUACGCGUUACGUAAAGCAACCGCGGUCACAUACGAGAGAGAGAAAGAGAGAUCUGCGAGGCCGCGUCUUAUAUAUAUAUGUGCAAUCGUAUAUAUAUGUAUAUGUACAUGUGCACAUAUAUUCUAGUCCAUAUAUACUCCGCUCCGCUCUAUUAGAGCGCUAAGAGUGGCGACGACGAACGACGGCUGGAUUCCGUUUCGCCAAGAUCGGGGGCCGCAAGAUCGGGCAAUUGUCCCCCGCGACUGGGAAAAGAGAGAAGGAGAUCGAAAGAGACCGAGAAGUCAGAGAAGCCAACUUCUAACUCGGAAUACCAAUAUCCCUCGAGAGAGUGACGAGAUCUGGGGAGCGACGCGGGAGAAUAUAAUGAGAGUAAAGAGGGUCGUUCCGGCUCUUAAGUUCUCGAGGCUUUUCCGGACUGUAUUCGCGGAUUUCUUCCUUCACCCCGUCGUAGUAUAUUUUCACCUGUUGUAUAGUCGCCGUGAGUACGUUCAAUGGUCGGCGAUGGUCGUUACUUACCGCGAGAAGCUAUAAACUUUAAAUGUAUCCUAAUGUGAUAUAGAAUGAUAUAAAGAAGUAUGAAAUAAAUGAGAAUUAGAAUUAACAAGAAAAAAAAUGAGAACUCUGGCUAUUGAUAAAUUGAUAUCUGCUCGUACUUAUGUCAUUGUGUCGUCGGACGCUAUUACUGUCAUAAGGUUCAAUUUUCGCGCUUUCGAGAUUGCCCGGAUGAUGAUUACAGCGAUGAUAUAAGGGUUUUGUAACAUGAUUUUGUAACUUAUCGAAUAAUUUCGUUCAAUUUGCAAGUGCAUCACUAUUCGAAUAUGCAAUAUAAGUUAAUCUAUCUCCGUUGUUACGUCGAGAGAGGGUCCAAUUAAGAUAGAUACGACCUCAGUUUCUCGCGUUAAAACAUAAAAUAGACGAUUAGAUAAUUGAAGAUGAAGCAUCGGCGGCACAAGUCGACCCCAGCACGUGAUAGCACCCUUUCUGUUAAACUGACCAAGUGCAAGCUCCAUGUAAAACAGAGGAAUACCGCCGACCACCAACAUCACGCAAUAGGGGACCAAAAAUGCGCCUGUAAACAGAGAAAUAUGUGCACAGAUAUAAAUAUGUAAACAAAUAUCAAUUUAAAAUAGAUACACAUUAAUGAUUUUUCGCGUUAAAACACGGAAACAAUCUAUUCAAAAA
Formica exsecta is the source of this 1751-nucleotide long non-coding RNA. RefSeq lists it as uncharacterized. The transcript is spliced from 3 exons. Lineage: Eukaryota; Metazoa; Arthropoda; Insecta; Hymenoptera; Formicidae. The record is from RefSeq and is a predicted model, not a curated record.